UACGUAGGGGGCUAGCGGUAUCCGGAAUUACUGGGCGUAAAGGGUGCGUAGGUGGUUUCUUAAGUCAGAGGUGAAAGGCUACGGCUCAACCGUAGUAAGCCUUUGAAACUGAGAAACUUGAGUGCAGGAGAGGAGAGUAGAAUUCCUAGUGUAGCGGUGAAAUGCGUAGAUAUUAGGAGGAAUACCAGUUGCGAAGGCGGCUCUCUGGACUGUAACUGACACUGAGGUACGAAAGCUUGAGGAGCAAACAGG
Molecule: ribosomal RNA, 252 nt
Filed under: uncultured bacterium
Lineage: Bacteria
Description: partial 16S ribosomal RNA
Rfam family: Bacterial small subunit ribosomal RNA
Source: RNAcentral